GCCGAAGUGGCGGAAUUGGUAGACGCGCUAGAUUCAGGUUCUAGUCCUCUUUUGAGGGUGGGGGUUCGAGUCCCCCCUUCGGCACCA
This 87-nucleotide transfer RNA is filed under the name bacterium. Its description in RNAcentral is "tRNA-Leu". It matches the Rfam family "tRNA". From Rfam's summary of the family: Transfer RNA (tRNA) molecules are approximately 80 nucleotides in length. Their secondary structure includes four short double-helical elements and three loops (D, anti-codon, and T loops). The record is from RNAcentral.